CACGCCCACAAAGCUGUCAGUGCCAGAGCCAGAGCCGCCAGAGGAUGACAGGUGUUUGGAAUGCCCAGACAGGUUAAGUAAACGCCACAGAGAGAUAGAAACACGUGCACGCUGGCCACACGUGCACGCCACACCAGAGCCCCCCCAACAUCAACGGAGACCGCGGACUUCCUGCCACCGAUAUGCUCUGCAACCCCCGCUACAGAUCCUUUAGAACAGUGCUUGUCAACCUUUUUUGAGCCAAGGCACAUUUUUGUCCAUUCAAAAAAAAUCCUGAGGCACACCACCAGCAGAAAUCAUAAAAAAACGAAACUCAGCAGCCGAUAUUGACAGUAAAAAAAGUAGUUCUCGCAAUUGUUGGACAUGAAUUCAAACCAUAACCCAGCAUAGCUCUUGUCUCAAAAUAGGUGUAUUGUCACUACCUGUCACAUCACAAUGUGACUUAUUGUCAAUACGUGGACUUUGGGGUUUGUUUUCCCGGAAUGCAAAGGAAAGUUGAAGCGGGCAAGGCGUGAAGCGGUGAAGAGAGGCGGAGCCGGCGAAGGAGCAGCGGGGUAGGGCACGCUAGAGCCCUGCCCAAGAUGGCGGCAAGGAGGCGGAGAAUGUGGCAGAGCGGAGAGGCGGGGCGUGCUGGGAACGACGCCGCAAUCUGAUUCAGGUGUGUGAAUCGCGCACCGGCACACGAUUGAUUCACGUAUCUCCUCACACUGUAUAAAAGGGGAGAGGGAGAAGAGAUCGGGGAGAAAGAGGAGAGUUCGCAGCAGUGACUGGAGAGCAAGAGGAAGCAAGACGCGAGACACGAAGAGCGAGCAGCGCAAGCGGCGACGGCGCGAAACUGUCUAUAUUGAAAAAUAAAUGAGAGUCAAACCUG
This is a long non-coding RNA of Nerophis ophidion (straightnose pipefish), 871 nucleotides long. RefSeq lists it as uncharacterized. The transcript has 2 exons. NCBI's taxonomy places the organism in Eukaryota, Metazoa, Chordata, Actinopteri, Syngnathiformes, Syngnathidae. The record is from RefSeq and is a predicted model, not a curated record.